Molecule: long non-coding RNA, 531 nt
Organism: Rosa rugosa (rugosa rose)
Lineage: Eukaryota; Viridiplantae; Streptophyta; Magnoliopsida; Rosales; Rosaceae
Exons: 2
Source: RefSeq, a predicted model, not a curated record
AUUACUUAAUAAGCAAUAUCAAACUAUCAUAAAUUAAUACACUAAAAAGAACAUAAGCAGAGCUACUCUCUCCUCAUGGUAGUGACUGAACAUACGCAGAGCUACUCUAUUCUCAUGGUAGUGACUACUUGGCCGUCUUGUCUUUGUUUGGGAUCGGAUCUUUUCUAUCUUUGAUAUGCUUACUCAUGGCGACAAUUUGGACCCGGGUUAGGCUUAGGCCUCUCAGCCAAUACUUGCUUCUUAUCUUUUCAAUAAUGGGGCGCCUCUUGCUCCAAAGGAAGUAACUUCCACGAAGUCAAGGAAGUCGAUCAUCAAGAUAAUUGGACCGAUGUACGUGGAAGAAGAUUGGAGGCUAAACGAUGAAGAUGAUUGCAACACAGUCUAUCGUGGUGGAGGUGAUGUUUGUGCAUGAUGAUUUCUUGUCCUAUUUAGUCUCAUAUUUCCAACUAGCUUGGAAAAUUAAAAGUCCCGUUAGUUUUCCUACAGUUUCGUUUGGUUGCUCAGAAUGGAAAGAUGGGAAAAUUUGAAAUG